RNAcentral lists this long non-coding RNA (1785 nucleotides) under Homo sapiens (human). Its description in RNAcentral is "HSALNT0146462". Lineage: Eukaryota; Metazoa; Chordata; Mammalia; Primates; Hominidae. The record is from RNAcentral.
AUAUAGCAAGAGGGAGGCUGAGAGGUCUUUCAUCAGGAGGCACGGUGUGAGCAGGUGCAAGAAACCUGAAUCUUAAUCCUGAAAUGGAGAAAGCCAAGAACGUCCUGAUCUAAACUACAGAGCCCUCAGAAGACUCAGAACAACACACAAGUUCUUGGGAAGCUACUGGAGGAUGUGUGUCAUCAAAACAAGGGAAUCAGCAGUCCUGUAUCUAUGAAGAAACAACUGGAAAUGAUAGGCUCACAUUCUCCUCUGUUAAGUGCAUUCCCAAUCAGCUUCUUUCCUCAGGUUGGAAAGUGGCUGCCAGCAGCUACCAAGGUGCUAUCCUUCCAGAUUCACAUCCUGCAGAAAGAGCAUGAGAUUCCUGGCAGAAGAUUUGAGAUGCACUCAAAGUAUACUGGCUGAAGUCGGGCCUUAAGUCUGGAUGGGAUGCCCCUUUACCUGCUCCCAUUGGGUCCCGUACUUCCACCUUCAUAACACUAACAAUGCUAGAGUGUGGCAGCUCUCAAAGUGUCAUCCUCCAGCAGCAUCAGUAUCACCUACCUGGACAUUUCACAGAAAUGCAGAUUCUCUGGCUCCACCCACAUCCUCUGAAUCAGAAACUGUUGUGUGUGUGUGUGUGGGGGGGGGGGGUUCCGCAAGAUAUCUGUGCUUUAACAAGCCCUCUAGAAGAUUCUGAUGCACUCCCAGCUUGAGAACUCUACUUGCUCUAAUGCGAUUGCCUGUUUACUGUUGGGAUCCCACACCAGAUGUAAGCACCAGGAGGCAGGGCCGCAUCUGUUCCAUUCAACACUGUAUCUGCCAAGCCCACAGUAGGUGCUCUCCUAAUUCUAUGUGGUAGACUUCAAAAGACAAAGAAAGUGUUAUUCUCACUGGCUCUGGCCUGGACCAAGAGAAUGCAGAAAUGGCUUCCAUUCUGUGAGCUGUGACUUCUAACGUGGCCACAUAGCUGGUGGAGAGGUGACAACCUUCAUCUCCAAGGAUCCCCUGCACUGCUUGCUUUAUGCCCAGAGCAACCUCAUGCUGACAAGGACUGCACAGUUUUGAACACCCAUGCUCCAAUCAAAAGAAACCAAUUUGUGAGAGACGAUAUAAAUCCAUGAAUACUGCACUGAAACCUCUUUCUGCUCCAGGCAGAGAAGAUAAAUUACCACCCGAGUGAUAUAAAGUUAGUUUGAAUAUUUCAUUGGAUCAAAUGCAACAUGUCUCAGAACCUCUCCUCUUUUAAGUCAGAAUUAAAGAAUUGUUAUCAGGCAUAAUAAUAGACACUAUCAUUUGCAUACAUUUUAUCUCAAGAGACUUUUGAAGUUAUGCAAUACGCCAGUGGUUAAUUGUUCUUCACACUCCUGACAUAUCAAAUUACAGCUCAGAUGAGAGAGCAACCCAUUUGUGACUGGAAUGAUUGGCAGGAGCCUACAAGGAGAGCAUCUUCGAGGACUGAAGGAGGAGUAUCUUUUCAGGCUUUUCCAUGGAGACCUUGGAGACCAUGGGUUCUAGAUGGUUCUGUUAUAACAUGAUGGAGACUUCAUUAGUCUGGGUUCCUAGACGAGUGUGAAACACUUUCCCCACUGAUUGAAUUACAAUUAUAAUGUGAAAGAAAAAUAAAUCUUUAUUGUGUAAAACUACUGAAAUAUCAGAGUUACAAUACUGUAGUGUAGCAAAUUCUGGCAAAUACUUCCCAGCAUAUUUUCAAUUCCAUUUCAUUGGCCAAGCCUAGAUGAUAUGGUCACCUAUAGCUGAAGGAAGGCUGGGAAAGAUGGAAGAGGAUUGCUUAUUUGGCUUAAA